GGCGUUUUCAUUCAUACAAACAUCGCAAACCACUUGCUCCUUCUUGUUGCUAGAGUAUCAUCAGUUACUUUUGAAAUGGCCAACUUCAACGUCAUGCUCUCUUGUCUUUUACUGUUCGGAUUGAUUACAUCUGGAGUUUCUGUUGACUGGAAUGAUCCCCGAACAGGCAUAUGCUUCUGGGCUAGAGAUGCAAGGAUUUCGUUGAAAGAUGAUCCGAGACUUUACAAAUAUUGUGCCAUGGUCAUUGCUUCCCAGAAUGAAGAUAGAAAAAAAUAUUGAAAGUUGUCUGAGAAAGUCAAAAUAAAAUUAUCAGAGUAGUCUUCACGUUUCCGUUAUUUUAAUAAAUGAAAUGUGUUUGUCAAAAAGGCCAUGCAAGAAAGACUCUAAAUCAUACACAUAAUA
This is a long non-coding RNA of Magallana angulata, 402 nucleotides long. RefSeq lists it as uncharacterized. The record is from RefSeq and is a predicted model, not a curated record. The transcript has 3 exons. Lineage: Eukaryota; Metazoa; Mollusca; Bivalvia; Ostreida; Ostreidae.